GCAUGAAAGUGAAGAGGAGCCUCGCGCCCCUCCAGGCAGGAUCUGUCGUCCGUUUUGUGGGCGGCAGCGCACUGCCGGCCCGUCUCGGCCGCUUAUGACGGCGAGGCGGAACAAGAGCGCACGCUCUGGGACCCGAAAGAUGGUGAACUAUGCCUGAGCAGGACGAAGUCAGGGGAAACUCUGAUGGAGGUCCGCAGCGAUUCUGACGUGCAAAUCGAUCGUCAAACUUGGGUAUAGGGGCGAAAGACUAAUCGAACCAUCUAGUAGCUGGUUCCUUCCGAAGUUUCCCUCAGGAUAGCUGGCACUAAUCUCGCUGCAGUUUUAUCCGGUACAGCGAAUGAUUAGAGGGAUUGGGGAUUUCUUGUCCUCAACCUAUUCUCAAACUUUAAAUGGGUAAGAAGCACGACUCGCCUGAAACAUUUUACUACGGAGUCGCUGCCUACUAUUGAAUGCAUGAGUGCCAAGUGGGCCAAUUUUGGUAAGCAGAACUGGCGCUGUGGGAUGAACCAAACGUCCGGUUAAGGCGCCCGAGGCGGACGCUCAUCAGACCCCAUAAAAGGUGUUGGUUGGUAUAGACAGCAGGACGGUGGCCAUGGAAGUCGGCAUUCGCUAAGGAGUGUGUAACAACUCACCUGCCGAAUCAACCGGCCCUGA
Molecule: ribosomal RNA, 654 nt
Filed under: Tridacna sp. JHH-2013c
Lineage: Eukaryota; Metazoa; Mollusca; Bivalvia; Cardiida; Cardiidae
Description: eukaryotic LSU rRNA
Rfam family: Eukaryotic large subunit ribosomal RNA
Source: RNAcentral